Long non-coding RNA from Cotesia glomerata, 969 nucleotides. RefSeq lists it as uncharacterized. The transcript has 3 exons. NCBI's taxonomy places the organism in Eukaryota, Metazoa, Arthropoda, Insecta, Hymenoptera, Braconidae. The record is from RefSeq and is a predicted model, not a curated record.
AAAAUUGAAUAAUACUAAAUAAUUGCUGCACGAGAGUUAAUAAUUUCAUUUAUUAAAGUCAGUGUAUUUAAUAGUUAGAAUUUAAUAAUUAUUGAUAAACCGGAAGUUUAAUUCCAGUUAAGUGUACAGAGCAUGACUGAUAAGAAUGUAAAUGCUUGCAGUGUCUAGUUUUUUUGUUCUUUUUUUUACAAACAUACGAUUUAAAUCCACUGAAAUUCAAAUAAAAGUUUUUUCAAUUGGAAUUGUAUUUGCGAAGAAAUUUUCUUUAAAUUGUAUCGUCACUUAUUUUGUAUACUAACAAAACGAAAGGAUAAAUUUUGUAUAUUUGUUUGAUAAAACUCAUUUAUUUACUUACGUUUAUAAAUCAAGGAAAUACUCUUACGAAGGUCGUACUAAUUUGUAUGCAACAUUGAUAUCUAUUAUAUCUUUAUAUGGCUCACGACUUAGACUUUUCGAGUAAAUAUUUACAUUAAUUAACUUUGCAAAGAGUAAUGUAACUAUUAAAUCAAGGACAAAUCGUAAGAAUACCAAUCCGAAAUAUGAGUAGAAGGACAUCAUGUUUUUUUCCUUCAAUAGAAUCUGUAUCACAUUGAGAACUUCCUUAUAAUUUAAACUUUUUUUUUUUAUUUAUUUUUAUGCUAUAUUUAGUAAUGAAGAAUUACAAGCCUUAAUAGACGUUAUUAAAUGCGUGGAAGAAUUUUUUUUAUCAUUUAUUAUUAUCAGUAUUGGUUCACAAGAUCUUCCUGUAUAUAGCAAUGAGUUAAACUCAGUAUCAGGGAAAAUAAUAUUUUACGCUCAGUCAAGCGAAUGGUGAAUAAGAAUUAUGCAGCGAAAGCCAACUAAUUUCUCUUUGUAUAUUGUUCACUUUCUGUUUUAUUUUAUUUAUUGUAAAUUUUAAAAAUCAUUGCUUAUUCAUCUUCCGAUCUUGACAUUGUAGAUUGCGAUAAAAACAAAUAAUUAAAUAGAAAU